Molecule: non-coding RNA, 456 nt
Organism: Jaculus jaculus (lesser Egyptian jerboa)
Lineage: Eukaryota; Metazoa; Chordata; Mammalia; Rodentia; Dipodidae
Source: the annotation of a RefSeq genome assembly
AUGGGGUCAGCUUCCCUCCUGUUAUGGGUGCUGCUUCUCUGGGUUCCAGGUUCCAGUGGGGACAUUGUGCUGACCCAGUCUCCAGAUUCUCUGGCAGUGUCUCCAGGGGAGAGGGCCACCAUUUCUUGCAGGGCCAGCCAGAGUGUCAGCAUAGUUGUCACUAAUUUAAUGCACUGGUAUCAACAGAAACCAGGACAGCCUCCCAAACUCCUGAUUUACCAAGCAUCUAAUCUGGCGUCUGGAGUCCCAGCCAGGUUCAGUGGCAGUGGGUCAGGGACAGAGUUCACCCUCACCAUCAAUCCCGUGGAGGCCGAUGAUGCUGCGCACUAUCACUGUCAGCAGAGUAAGGCGCUUCCUCCACAGUGCUCUAGGCCUAAACAAAAACCUCCUGGGCCUGCUGCUCACAAAAGCUCUCAGCUCUCUCUUCCUUCAGGAUGUCUCAGUUAUAGUUUCUAG